UAUCACCUCCAUUGGCGGUGACUUCAUUGGCCACUUCUCCCCUGCCACAGCCACCACCAGCUUCUUCUUCACCGACCACUUCUCCUUUAGUGAUGCUGAGCUCGUACAUCUGGCCAAACUCGACGGUGUUGCCAUGAGAGUAGGGUAUGGCGAAGGCGGCCAUGGGGUUGCGAAUGAACACAGAGACGAUCUCUAUCCCCCACUGCGUCGGCAGCUGCAACAUCUCCACAUUCUCCCGAUGCCAGAAUCGGCUCAGCCCAUCAUCUCCUCCUCCCUCACCACCUCCUACGUCGACGGACUCGACAGAAAGAAUGCCAGCAUCCAUGCAUUGCGCCGUCAUGAGAAGAGGGUCUACCUUCUUAUCCUCUUUCUUCUCCCUUUUCUUCUAAGAUGGCUGGGUGUUCUGAUUUGAUUGAAGCUCCUCGAUCCAGUGGUAGAGGUGCUACUAGAGCUCCUUACAGUGUUGGAAAAUGUGUUCUAAAACCAAUCGUCAACCUGUUGAUGUAAUUGUAUAUGAAUUAAUUAAUAAAAUAUUUAUUUAAUAAUUUUCAUCAUAAACUUGUACAUCUUUUAUAUCGAACUUUUAUAUUAUGAUGAAAGUCUUUAGGACUAUUUUAAAUCGAUAAAAGAGGAUUUAUCCUUUAGUCCUUAAAUGAGUUUGCGACUAAAUGAUAUGCUAUUAC
This 683-nucleotide long non-coding RNA is filed under the name Elaeis guineensis (African oil palm). Its description in RNAcentral is "long non-coding RNA (EGUI_LNC050988)". Lineage: Eukaryota; Viridiplantae; Streptophyta; Magnoliopsida; Arecales; Arecaceae. The record is from RNAcentral.